AGUAUAUUUGAAUGUGAACUCAAGGUUUCUGUGUGGUUAGCUUCUGCUGAUUGAUCUGAUUCUGCACAAGCCAAAAGCAUAUAGACAUUUCCUUUAUAAUGUACUCAAACAAGAAACAGGGGAGUGCAAGGGCCUGUUGUGGAAAUCAUCCUUGGCCUUUCUUGCUUUGGAUGCUUGUAUCUUUUCUUCUUGAAGAUUUUAAUCAUUAACGAGAUUGUUCCUCGUAAUGUGUUUAGUAUCUUUGUCCAUGACCUAUGCAUACAAAGAACAAAGUGCCUUGGCGACUCAAAACAGGUGUCUGCUGCUGGAAAUGGCUCAGGAAGGGGGGUAUUCGUCAAUGAGCGUCGGCUCUUUUACGUGGACGUGUGUAAAGGUCCUUUUAAUAACCCAUGUUAGAUGGAGAGAUUAGUUUUUGAGUUGUUUCGAGAUCUUAACAAGCGGCAUUGUCAAAGCUGCUGAUAUUGGCGGAUGUCUUUCUUGGGAACUUUUUCCUUUGUUAUCUCCUUCUGCUCAUGACGAGAAACUCUUUCACGAUACCAGUUGGAUUCUCCAGGUGAACUUCGAUGUUUGUUUUGUAUGCUUCACCUAGCCAACAGUCAACAGUAAAACACUUCCACUGCUGCUGUAAAAUCAAUCCACUUUCUAUUUAAGGCACACGGUUACUUUUGUUUAUAUGAACUUAGCCCAUUGAAGAUGUGUAGUUCAGUGGAUCGA
Long non-coding RNA from Rhodamnia argentea, 714 nucleotides. RefSeq lists it as uncharacterized. The transcript is spliced from 4 exons. NCBI's taxonomy places the organism in Eukaryota, Viridiplantae, Streptophyta, Magnoliopsida, Myrtales, Myrtaceae. The record is from RefSeq and is a predicted model, not a curated record.